This 397-nucleotide long non-coding RNA is filed under the name Cavia porcellus (domestic guinea pig). RNAcentral's name for it is "lncRNA (ENSCPOG00000033695.1)". The record is from RNAcentral. Lineage: Eukaryota; Metazoa; Chordata; Mammalia; Rodentia; Caviidae.
CGCUGCCCCCGUCAGUGCGCGUCUGCGUGCCGGGCAGCGGCGGCAUCCAACCUGCUUUAUUCCCCUUGCCUGCAGCGCCACAGCGAGCGAGGAGGGGGAGAGAGGGAGUCUGUCUGCAAAGUGCUGCUCCCUGGUGCUCAGAGGCGGCUGCUCCAGCUCCAACUCUCAUUCAUUUCGCCGGUUAACAUGAGAGAUCAUGGCCGCCUUCGGGCUUCUCAGCUAUGAGCAGAGACCGCUGAAGCGCCCCCGGCUCGGGCCGCCCGACGUCUACCCGCAGGACCCCAAGCAGAAGGAGGAUGAACUGACUGCUGUGAAUGUAAAGCAAGGCUUCAACAAUCAGCCGGCCUUCACCGGAGAUGAACAUGGCUCCGCCAGAAAUAUUGUAAUUAACCCAUCA